AUUGAACGCUGGCGGCAGGCCUAACACAUGCAAGUCGAGCGAGCGGCGGACGGGUGAGUAAUGUCUGGGAAACUGCCUGAUGGAGGGGGAUAACUACUGGAAACGGUAGCUAAUACCGCAUACCAUCAGAGGUGCCCAGAUGGGAUUAGCUCGUAGGUGGGGUAACGGCUCACCUAAGCGACCAUCCCUAGCUGGUCUGAGAGGAUGACCAGCCACACUGGAACUGAGACACGGUCCAGAGUCCUACGGGAGGCAGCAGUGGGGAAUAUGGCACAAUGGGCGCAAGCCGGAUGCAGCCAUGCCGCAGGUGUGAAGAAGGCCUUCGGGUUGUAAAGCACUUUAAGCGGUGAGGCGUUACCCGCAGAAGAAGCACCGGCUAACUCCGUGCCAGCAGCCGCGGUAAUUC
This 406-nucleotide ribosomal RNA is filed under the name uncultured bacterium. RNAcentral describes it as "partial 16S ribosomal RNA". It matches the Rfam family "Bacterial small subunit ribosomal RNA", at positions 30 to 526 of the family's 1533-position model. The record is from RNAcentral.